This 165-nucleotide small nuclear RNA is filed under the name Nelumbo nucifera (sacred lotus). RNAcentral's name for it is "U1 spliceosomal RNA". It matches the Rfam family "U1 spliceosomal RNA". Rfam says of the family: U1 is a small nuclear RNA (snRNA) component of the spliceosome (involved in pre-mRNA splicing). Lineage: Eukaryota; Viridiplantae; Streptophyta; Magnoliopsida; Proteales; Nelumbonaceae. The record is from Rfam by way of RNAcentral.
AUACUUACCUGGACGGGGUCAAUGGGUGAUCAAGAAAGCCCAAGGCCUAGGUUGGUGACCUCCAUUGCACUUUGGAGGGGUGCCUGCCCACCUAACAUCUCCCCAAGUGGGAGAGUGUACGUCAUAAUUUGUGGUAAUGGGGGUACGCGUUCGCGCGGCCCCUAC